AUGUCAGAGAAUGGCACAGGAACUGUCUUUUAUAGAUGUAGUUGCACCAAGAUGAACUCAAAAAGACUUAUAAACCAGCCCACAACUCCGCAUCGUCAGCCAACGCCCAACCACGGGCUUCCCAAGACGUCACUUCAACGACUACUUCCAGCCAAUCUGCAACCUUGGGAAACCCCCUUUUCAACGACAACAAAGGGAACCCCCUUUUCACAGUCAACGCAAGUAACGUACCUCCAGACUAAGCUGAACUGGUGUGUCUAAUAUAAUUUUAACCUCAUUGAGGAACUCAAUUGCGAGGGUUAAUUAAGUGAUUGAUGGUUGUUUAUGUCUAUGCAAUUUUACGUAUUGCUGUAAACUUGGGAUUCCACAUUUUCAUUCUCUUAAACUCAUCCUUUCCUAACUUUCUAUCUUCCUGCAACUUGUGUGAAUGUGAGUGCAUGUGCUUAUGUGUUAAAUUAGUUUAUAUGUCUUAGAUUUAUCUAAUAAAGCCUUAUUCAUUUUGAAAAGAGAAUUAUCUUGUGUUUUGUGCUUACAAGUUAAUGUCUUAAACUGCCGAUCUUGUUACUGUGCUAAUUAAUAGUGUUUUCACUAUACUUUGGAUAUUAAUAUCCAGUGCAGAUUUGAUGUUAAACUAUGUGUUAAAAUAUGUGAACUGUGUCUGUAAUUUUUGGCAGUAAUGUAUUUAUUUGUGUUGCUUUCUUCCAAAAUUUGUAUUAAACAGACUAUAAAGUUAUGUCCCUCAGUCUGAACUCAACCCUGUCACACUAACCAUUGUAGAAUCUAUGAAAUAGGAAUUCAUAGAUUAACUUAAUUUCUUAAUUAACUUAUUAACUUAAUUAACUUAACUUAAUUUCGCCCAUAAUAAUUUAGACUCCACCCAUAUGUGACACAAUUUACCAGAAAUUACAUCGUUACACCCAUGGACGGUCUGUAUGUGUUUUUCUCCCCACGUGCACCCCGUGACCCAAUUUCUUCCAUGUGUGAUUGUCUCAUUUGGUUCAGAUGUGUCUCAUUAAUUACCUAGUUAUAUCCUGUAUUUAAAGUGUUGUCUGCCCUUUGUUCCCUUGUCCGGUGUUAAACGUCUUGAUGUGCUACAUGUGUCGACCACUGCCCUGUCGACUUCUCAUACACCACUGGACUGAGCUGGAGGGAAGCUAUCAUCCGAUGUCUGGAGAGUGUCUAUCCCCGAUCCAGAGCACAGCCAGACCCAGCGCCCAGCCUACCACUCCCCUCUGUGUGGAACUCAAGAUGAUAGAGAGCCCAAGCCCACCGCGAUGACGAGCCAUAGAAGGCUACAGUUCCCACGUAUGGUUCAGGGAGGGGCCACAGAUUCCGAGUCUAGCCCAAGGAGGGCUCCUGUUUCCAUGUCCAGCCCAGGGAGGGCUCCUGUUUGCACAUCCAGCCCAGA
This is a long non-coding RNA of Cyprinus carpio carpio, 1408 nucleotides long. Lineage: Eukaryota; Metazoa; Chordata; Actinopteri; Cypriniformes; Cyprinidae. The record is from Ensembl.